AGGGCGGGGCAGGAAAUAUGAAAGGAAGGCUCUGCAGCAGAGUUGGGCUGGAGCCAGCAGAGAAGACAGAUGCCUCCGCCUUGCUGCAGCACCCAGGAGCAGAACCUGUACCCUGCCGCGCCCUGUCCCCAGAGGAGAUGAACACAGACGAGGACUUGCCAGGACUACCAGCGGCCGUAUACCCCGAGGAGCCUGAGAACCUGUGGAGGCUAGAGGUACCAAACCCUGGGGAGGUAGGAUGUAGCCCAGGGGCAGCCCACGACUGGCUGGCUACAGGGCUGACCGCAUCUCAGUUGGCGUGUUGUGGCUGGAACCUUGCCGACCCAGUGACAGACCACUCUGCCACUGUUCGGGCCCUGGGCUGGAACGCGGUGGAGUAGGGCGGGCCCGCGUCCCCCUGCCAUCCCAACCCCGGGGUGGCAGACUCCCCACUUUAGGCCAGGAGGCCUGUGCUCUGUGAACCUCCCUGCUAGCACCCUAGACUGCUUGCUGGAUGUGCAAACCCCUUUCAGAGCCCCUAGACUGUAUGGGCGCUCCCCCUUACCUGAACUCCAAGACUGUGUGUGUUUGUUGGCUGCCUGAGCAGCCUGCUCCUUGCUCUGCCCCACCCAAAGGACCAGAGCUAAUUGACUGUGUUUGUUUGCUGGCUGGCUGCCUGAGCCCACAAGCCCAAGCUAAAGCCUGCUCCCUGCUCUGCCCCGCCCAAAGAGCUACAGCUUAUUGACUUGGUGUAUUUGCUGGCUGCCUGAGCUGGGAGGCUGAGGCUACAGCCUGCUACCAGCCCAGCCAAAGGAUAACUGUUAAGUGUUGUCAGCCCCAUUGAGGGGCUAUGAGCUAGAGACUAUGCCGGGCGCUGCCCACCACGGGGCAAGAGCCCCAGACUGUUGUUGUCUGUUUGCCUCUGUCAGACAGACCCAGAGCUCUAGACUGUUUACAGCUCACCCCCCGACGUGACCCAAGCCUGAGGACUGAACCUGAACAGAACGAGGCAGAGUGGCCUCCAUCCGGACUGGAGAACGAGGGAGCACUACAGGUAUCUCCAACUGGGCACUCCACAUUAAUGGACACUUCUGAAACCUUGGGUUCAACUGAUUUGUCCAUGGUCGUUAUAGAACCAUACAGCUGGAAAGCAGACCAAGGAGCAUUGAUUCCCAUUCCCAACUGUAAAUUCAAGGUCUCGUGUGUUGUAUUUGCAAAAAAGGUCCAGCAAGAAUCUUGCAAGUCUAUGUAGCUGAUGUACUGAAUGAACAAUGGAACAAGGGCAGAAGAAAACCCAGAGCCAGAAGUUGGCUAGAAAAGGGAGGAGACUGGUCAGGGAACCUUAUCAAGAUUGCUCUGAGUAACAAAUGUGCUCCUUCAGACUCCGCAUGCUUUUUUCAGUCUUUUCGAGGCACACAAAAGGCUCUAAUAGACAUGUGUGUCUUACUGAAUGAGUGAUUCUUCCUAGAAUACCAUUGGAAUGAGUUUGUUCUCACUCAACCAGAAUCUAUUAUAUGAAAAGUCUUCAUUACCAUAAUCCCUCGGCAUUGUUUCCAUCCAUUAACAGCAGUUAAUUAUGAGACACUGCAGAAUUGGCUCCCACGACUUUAUGUACACUUGUGCCUGCCUGAUCAAGAGUAAUGCCCUACCAUAAAUCAGAAAUGUCUAACAUCCAGACAGAGGGCCUUCAUGGAUUAAGCUAGAAACAAAAGACACCAUGUUAGAGUUAAAGUUACAAUGACUAGGGAAUAGUGCUCCAAAAUAGUGGCAGCUGAGUGAGAAAAGGCUACUGUACAGGAUCCUGCAUGCUACCGUACAUGAAACACACAGCUAAUAUUUAACAUACAAAAUAGUUCUCUAGGAUGACAACUAGUUAUUAAAAUAUAUUCACAAACAUCUGGUACCAUGUCAAAUUCUGAAGUAUUAUUAUUGAAACACGAGUAACAUGCAAAAACUCCAGAAGAUGCCAGGAAAAGGACAGCCACGCAAAAUUUAUUCCAUGACCAUGAAUGAAAAUGCUUCCUAUUCAGAUCCCUAUUGUCAUACAGGUAUGACACACAAAAGUGCUGGAAACAGGCUAAUCUAUUUCCUGGCUUUAGUCACAUAAUAUGGGCGAGGUUACAAAAGGUUAUAUCUAUCUAUCUAUCUAUCUAUAUAUACACGUACCCCUGACACAUGGCAAGAAUCAGUAUCCACUACCAUUACUGGAAUAGCUUAGGGUCCCCAAACAGGAUCUGAGUCCUAUUGCACUUCAGAUGCUGCACAGACCUGCAGGAAACUCAGGAAGGAGUGCUGAGCUGCUAACAGGGGAAGGAGAGAGGGGGGAGGGAGUCACAGUCACCAGCCUAAAAAGCAGCAGUUUCAUCAGCUCUUCUGGACAAGUUAACGGCAGCGGACUCGAACGAGCUGCUUAGAAGAGAAGACCAAAAUCUAACAGGAAUUGGUGAGGAAGAGGAGAAUCAGGGAGAACAGAUGGAUGGAUAGGGAGAGGGCAAGAGGAAAUUAGAUGUGUAUUAGGCAUUUUGUUGAGACAACACAGGUAAGUCUGCUACUGCCUCCUGUCCCCCAAUUUUGUGAGAAAGGGUAAGAAAUAUCCUACUGAGAAAAUGAAAUCCAUUCUCAGUGUUCUAGGUCAAGCUUCACCUUAUCUCCUCCAAAGCAGGAAGAAAGCAAAGUUAAUCACACUGAAAUGAGCAAAAAGGAAGUAAAGAAUCUAUGACUUGGCCACUUUUCUGGAUCACUUCAGCAGUAGAAUUUCCAAUGAAAAGCCAAAGGCAGCCAUGAACUUCAGACCUUCCAAUUAGGACUGUCGAACAAGUGGAAUGAGGAAAAGGAUAACUAAACAACUACACAAAUCAAGGAAGCAUCAAUACUUUAAUAAAUGUCAACUUCAGAGAGGACUAUAGUUCAUAAUAGUAUGAAUGAGUCAAUUUCAGAAAUCCAUUAUUGGUUUGUAUGCUAUUAACCACAUACAUGCACUGCCAUGAAAAGUUAUCAAAGGAUUAAACCUCAUUUGUCUUUCCUUCUUUCAGAAAAAUAGCAAAAACCAAACCAAGCUGGGUAGGUUAUUUCAGAAAAAAGUGAUAUAACUGGUGUGAAACUGGGUUUGAAGCUUUCAAUAAGCAUCAUAAAACAAUCUCUGUGUAAUGUCCUAAUUACAGAGAUGUACAAGACAUACAUGUGGAUGGUAGUUCAGCCUAAACCUGUAAGAAUAUCAAGCUUGCCUACCAAGAGUUUUCCAACAGUUCAAGGAAGAACAAUGAUCCUUGUUGGAGAUUCAAUCUUUGGAAAACCUGAAAGAAUAUUCUGCAAGGUGAACACCAGGAUGGUGCGCUGCCUUCCCAGAGCCAAGACAUGAGACAUCACGCUAUUGAAAUCCACUAGCAAGAAUUCAUUGG
This is a long non-coding RNA of Chelonia mydas (Green sea turtle), 3377 nucleotides long. RefSeq lists it as uncharacterized. Lineage: Eukaryota; Metazoa; Chordata; Testudines; Cheloniidae. The transcript is spliced from 3 exons. The record is from RefSeq and is a predicted model, not a curated record.